GCGCGGGUGGUGGAACUGGUAGACACAUCGGGCUUAAAACCCGCCGCCCACCCGAGAGGGAGCGUACGGGUUCGAGUCCCGUCCCGCGCACCA
Molecule: transfer RNA, 93 nt
Filed under: Ramlibacter sp.
Lineage: Bacteria; Pseudomonadati; Pseudomonadota; Betaproteobacteria; Burkholderiales; Comamonadaceae
Description: tRNA-Leu
Rfam family: tRNA
About the family: Transfer RNA (tRNA) molecules are approximately 80 nucleotides in length. Their secondary structure includes four short double-helical elements and three loops (D, anti-codon, and T loops).
Source: RNAcentral